CUGGGGAGUAUGCUCGCAAGGGUGAAACUCAAAGGGAAUUGACGGGGGCCCGCACAAGCGGUGGAGCAUGUGGUGUAAUUCGAUGAUACGCGAGGAACCUUACCAGGGCUUGACAUCUACGUGACAGCGGUAGAGAUACCGUUUCCAUUCGGGGCAGGUAGACAGGUGCUGCAUGGCUGUCGUCAGCUCGUGCAGUGAGGUGUUGGGUUAAGUCCCGCAACGAGCGCAACCCCUGCUGUCUCUUGCUAUCAGGUAAAGCUGACGACUCAGACGGAACUGCCGGUGACAAACCUCCGCGAAGGUGGGGACGACGUCAAGUCAUCAUGGCCAUUAUGUCAUGGGCUACACACGUGCUACAAUGGCCGGUACAGAGCGAAGCGAAACCGCGAGNUGAGCAAAUCGCCGAAGCACGGUCACAGUUCGGAUCGGAGUCUGAACCCGACUCCGUGAAGGUGGAUCGCUAGUAUCGCGCAUCAGCACUCCUGUGGUGAUACGUGCCCNGGCAUNGACACACCGCC
Molecule: ribosomal RNA, 518 nt
Filed under: uncultured organism
Description: bacterial SSU rRNA
Rfam family: Bacterial small subunit ribosomal RNA
Source: RNAcentral